UUGCUCUGGGGGAUUAGUGGCGAACGGGUGAGUAACACGUGAGUAACCUGCCCUUGACUCUGGGAUAACCUCCGGAAACGGAAGCUAAUACCGGAUAUGACGUACGGAGGCAUCUCCUGUGCGUGGAAAGAAUUUCGGUCAAGGAUGGACUCGCGGCCUAUCAGGUAGUUGGUGAGGUAACGGCUCACCAAGCCUACGACGGGUAGCCGGCCUGAGAGGGUGACCGGCCACACUGGGACUGAGACACGGCCCAGACUCCUACGGGAGGCAGCAGUGGGGAAUAUUGCACAAUGGGCGCAAGCCUGAUGCAGCAACGCCGCGUGAGGGACGACGGCCUUCGGGUUGUAAACCUCUUUUAGUAGGGAAGAAGCGAAAGUGACGGUACCUGCAGAAAAAGCACCGGCUAACUACGUGCCAGCAGCCGCGGUAAUACGUAGGGUGCAAGCGUUGUCCGGAAUUAUUGGGCGUAAAGAGCUCGUAGGCGGUUUGUCGCGUCUGCUGUGAAAACCCGAGGCUCAACCUCGGGCCUGCAGUGGGUACGGGCAGACUAGAGUGCGGUAGGGGAGAAUGGAAUUCCUGGUGUAGCGGUGGAAUGCGCAGAUAUCAGGAGGAACACCGAUGGCGAAGGCAGUUCUCUGGGCCGUAACUGACGCUGAGGAGCGAAAGCGUGGGGAGCGAACAGGAUUAGAUACCCUGGUAGUCCACGCCGUAAACGUUGGGCGCUAGAUGUGGGG
This 734-nucleotide ribosomal RNA is filed under the name Cryocola sp. Its description in RNAcentral is "bacterial SSU rRNA". It matches the Rfam family "Bacterial small subunit ribosomal RNA", at positions 79 to 827 of the family's 1533-position model. Lineage: Bacteria; Bacillati; Actinomycetota; Actinomycetes; Micrococcales; Microbacteriaceae. The record is from RNAcentral.